AAUAAUAAAAUAAUUUAUUAAAAAAUUAAAUGUUAGAUCAUUAAAUUUAAAAGAUUUGGCGGUAUUUUAUAUUAUUAGAGGAAUCUGUAUUUUAAUUGAUAAUCCACAAUAAGAUAUACUUAUUAAAUAGAUUUAUGUAUUGCUGUUUAAAAAUUAUUAUUAAUUAAAUUUUUUAAUUUUUAUAUUUUAAUAUAAUUCAAGUCAAAAUAUAGUUUAAUUAAGAUAUAUAUGGAUUACAAUUUUUUUAAAAAUUAUAAUGGAUUAAUAAAUUUAAUUAUUUAUUUUAAAAUUGGAUUUAAUAGUAAAUUUAAUAAAUUAAUUAUUUUGAAUAAAAGAUAAAAUAAGU
RNAcentral lists this ribosomal RNA (346 nucleotides) under Protopolybia scutellaris. Its description in RNAcentral is "partial 12S ribosomal RNA". Lineage: Eukaryota; Metazoa; Arthropoda; Insecta; Hymenoptera; Vespidae. The record is from RNAcentral.